CGUGCGCGGGGCCAACGGAUGGGGCUCCAGGGGGCGAGCGCUGGCGGUGGCGGGUACGGCAGGCUCGCGGGCGCCGGGCUUCGUUACAUAAUCUCGGACCGGAGGAGCGGUGGCACAUGGCGGCGGAGCGGCGCUGGUGGUUCGCGUCCUGCGCCGGCAGUCGGGUCCCUUUACGGACGACCGGGGCCGCGACCCUUUCCCACUGUUCUCCCACGCGAUGGACUCGUUGGCGGGCCUUUCCCCGAGGGAAGUGGCCGGCGUGCUGAGCCUGUCCUGUGUUGGCGUGUGUUCCACAUGCGCUUGGGCCUGGCCACAUGGAAGUAUGCGAGACUUAAGAGCUCAAGUGACUAGUGGUCUCCUGCCAUUUCCAGAAGUGACUCUUCAAGCCCUUGGAGAAGACGAAAUAACAUUAGAAUCUGUGCUUCGUGGCAAGUUUGCUGCAGGGAAAAAUGGACUUGCUUGCUUGGCUUGUGGUCCACAACUUGAGGUAGUAAACUCUAUAACAGGAGAGCGAUUGUCUGCUUACAGAUUCAGUGGAGUCAAUGAACAGCCUCCUGUAGUUUUAGCUGUGAAAGAAUUCUCUUGGCAGAAGAGAACUGGAUUAUUAAUAGGAUUGGAAGAAACAGAAGGGAGUGUUCUCUGUCUUUAUGACCUUGGAAUAUCAAAAGUAGUUAAAGCAGUUGUUCUUCCUGGAAGGGUAACAGCUAUUGAACCUAUAAUUAAUCAUGGAGGAGCCAGUGCAAGCACUCAGCAUUUACAUCCAAGUCUGCGAUGGCUUUUUGGAGUGGCAGCUGUGGUCACUGAUGUUGGACAGAUCCUUCUUGUUGACCUAUGUUUGGAUGAUUUGUCAUGCAAUCAAAAUGAAGUUGAAGCAUCAGAUCUUGAAGUUCUAACUGGUAUCCCAGCUGAAGUACCACACAUUAGAGAAAGUGUAAUGAGAGAAGGGCGCCAUCUGUGUUUCCAGUUAGUAAGUCCAACAGGAACAGCUGUUUCAACUCUUAGUUACAUAAGCAGGACAAAUCAGCUUGCUGUAGGUUUUUCUGAUGGCUAUCUAGCACUUUGGAACAUGAAAAGCAUGAAAAGAGAAUAUUACAUACAAUUGGAAAGUGGACAAGUUCCUGUAUAUGCUGUCACUUUUCAAGAACCUGAGAAUGAUCCUCGGAAUUGCUGUUACUUGUGGGCUGUUCAGUCUACACAAGAUAGUGAAGGGGAUGUUUUGAGUUUGCAUCUGCUGCAGCUGGCCUUUGGUAAUAGAAAGUGUUUGGCAUCAGGACAAAUCUUAUAUGAGGGGUUAGAAUACUGUGAAGAAAGAUACACCCUGGACCUGACAGGUGGCAUGUUCCCUUUGAGGGGACAGACGAGUAAUACCAAAUUGUUGGGAUGCCAGAGUAUAGAGAAAUUUCGAUCUCAUGGUGACAGGGAGGAAGGUGUGAAUGAAGCUCUAUCGCCUGACACUAGUGUUUCAGUCUUUACCUGGCAGGUGAAUAUAUAUGGACAGGGAAAGCCUUCUGUAUAUUUGGGGCUUUUUGAUAUAAAUCGUUGGUAUCAUGCACAAAUGCCAGAUUCGUUAAGGUCAGGAGAAUAUCUCCAUAAUUGCUCUUAUUUUGCACUGUGGUCCUUGGAGUCUGUUGUAAGUAGGACUUCUCCACAUGGCAUCUUGGAUAUAUUAGUCCAUGAGCGAAGCUUAAAUAGAGGAGUCCCUCCUUCAUAUCCACCUCCCGAGCAGUUUUUUAAUCCAAGCACUUAUAAUUUUGAUGCCACUUGUUUGUUAAACUCGGGAGUUGUUCAUUUAACUUGUACUGGCUUUCAGAAGGAGACUUUGACUUUUUUAAAGAAAUCAGGUCCAUCACUCAAUGAACUCAUUCCUGAUGGUUAUAAUCGAUGUCUUGUAGCUGGCCUUCUUUCCCCAAGAUUUGUUGAUGUUCAGCCUUCCAGUUUAAGCCAAGAAGAACAGUUAGAAGCUAUAUUGUCAGCAGCAAUUCAGACUAGUUCCCUGGGACUUUUGACUGGUUAUAUCCGAAGAUGGAUAACAGAAGAACAACCAAAUUCUGCCACUAAUUUGCGCUUUGUUCUGGAAUGGACGUGGAAUAAAGUGGUUCUCACAAAAGAGGAAUUUGACAGACUAUGUGUGCCAUUAUUUGAUGGUUCGUGUCAUUUCAUGGAUCCACAAACUAUACAGUCUAUCCAGCAGUGCUAUUUGCUUCUUAGCAAUCUUAAUAUAGUCUUGAGCUGUUUUGCAUCAGAAGCCCGAGAGAUCACUGAGAGAGGACUGAUAGACUUAAGCAAUAAGUUUGUGGUUUCCCACCUCAUCUGUCAGUAUGCACAAGUGGUUCUUUGGUUCUCUCAUUCUGGGCUUUUACCAGAAGGCAUAGAUGAUUCUGUGCAGUUGUCAAGGUUAUGCUACAACUACCCUGUAAUUCAGAACUACUACACCAGUCGUCGACAGAAGUUUGAGCGUUUAUCAAGAGGGAAGUGGAAUCCCGAUUGCUUGAUGAUUGAUGGACUGGUUUCUCAGUUAGGAGAGCGAAUUGAGAAGUUGUGGAAACGAGAUGAAGGAGGCACAGGAAAAUAUCCUCCUGCUAGUCUGCAUGCAGUACUUGAUAUGUACCUAUUAGACGGCGUUACUGAAGCAGCCAAACACUCUAUUACCAUUUAUUUGCUACUUGAUAUUAUGUAUUCCUUUCCCAACAAAACAGACACUCCCAUUGAAUCUUUCCCAACUGUAUUUGCCAUUUCUUGGGGCCAAGUUAAACUUAUUCAGGGGUUUUGGUUGAUAGAUCAUAAUGACUAUGAGAGUGGUUUGGAUCUUUUGUUUCAUCCAGCUACUGCAAAACCUUUGUCAUGGCAACAUUCAAAGAUUAUUCAGGCAUUCAUGAGUCAGGGCGAGCACAGACAAGCCCUCAGAUAUAUUCAGACAAUGAAGCCAACAGUGUCCAGUGGUAGCGAUGUUAUCCUUCACCUCACUGUUUUGCUUUUUAAUAGGUGCAUGGUUGAAGCCUGGAAUUUUUUGCGGCAACAUUGCAAUAGGUUGAAUAUAGAGGAGUUACUGAAGCACAUGUAUGAAGUCUGUCAGGAAAUGGGCUUGAUGGAAGAUUUACUGAAGUUACCAUUUACAGACACUGAGCAGGAAUGUUUAGUGAAAUUUUUGCAGUCCAGUGCCAGCGUUCAGAAUCAUGAAUUCCUUUUAGUGCACCAUUUGCAGCGUGCCAAUUAUGUGCCUGCCUUGAAGCUGAACCAAACUCUGAAGAUUAAUGUUAUGAAUGAUCGUGAUCCUCGUUUGCGGGAGAGAUCACUGGCUCGAAAUUCUAUAUUAGACCAGUAUGGAAAAAUCCUUCCUAGAGUCCAUCGAAAAUUAGCCAUUGAACGAGCUAAGCCUUAUCAUCUGUCAACAUCAUCAGUUUUUCGAUUAGUUUCUAGACCCAAACCAUUAUCAGCAGUUCCAAAGCAAGUUGUAACAGGAACUGUGUUGACAAGAUCUGUUUUCAUCAACAAUGUGUUAUCUAAAAUUGGAGAAGUUUGGGCAAGCAAAGAACCUAUAAAUAGCACCACAUCUUUCAAUAGUUCUAAAAUAGAAGAACCAUCUCCUAUAGUGUAUUCGCUCCCAGCUCCAGAGCUGCCUGAGGCAUUUUUUGGAACACCAAUUUCAAAAGCAUCACAAAAAAUUUCUAGACUGCUAGAUUUGGUUGUUCAGCCUGUCCCCCGGCCUUCUCAGUGUUCGGAGUUUAUUCAGCAAAGCUCCAUGAAAUCUCCUUUGUACCUAGUAUCCGGUUCACUGCCCUCAAGUUCGCAAUUAAAAGGAUCGCCUCAGGCCAUCUCCAGGGCUUCAGAAUUACAUUUGCUUGAAACUCCUCUUGUAGUUAAGAAAGCUAAAAGUUUGGCCAUGUCAGUUACUACUUCUGGAUUUUCUGAGUUCACUCCUCAGUCCAUCCUGAGGUCUACUCUUCGAUCAACACCUUUAGCAUCUCCCUCUCCAUCACCUGGAAGGUCUCCUCAACGACUUAAAGAAACUAGAAUUUCAUUUGUGGAAGAAGAUGUCCACCCAAAAUGGAUUCCUGGGGCUGCAGAUGAUAGCAAAUUAGAAGUAUUUACUACACCUAAAAAAUGUGCAGUUCCAGUGGAAACUGAAUUGCUGAAGAGCAAAGAUAGGACCACAUCUUUUUUCCUGAACAGCCCUGAAAAGGAGCAUCAAGAAAUGGAUGUGGGGUCACAAAGUUUAGAGAAACUGGAUGUGAGCAAAGGAAACAGCAGUGUUUCAAUCACAUCCGAUGAGACUACCUUAGAGUAUCAGGAUGCACCGUCACCGGAAGACCUUGAAGAGACUGUUUUCACGGCCUCUAAGCCCAAAAGCUCUUCCACUGCACUAACUGCUAAUGUAACUGAACAAACUGAAAAGGAUGGAGAUAAAGAUGUAUUUGCAUCAGAAGUAACUCCUUCAGACCUACAGAAACAAAUGGGCAAUUUAGAAGAUGCAGAAACAAAGGAUCUCUUAGUUGCAGCAGAGGCAUUUUCAGAAUUGAAUCACUUAAGCCCGGUUCAAGGAACUGAAGCUUCUCUUUGUGCACCAUCAGUCUAUGAAGGGAAAAUCUUCACCCAGAAGUCACCAGUGUUGGACGAAGGAUUAACAUCUGUUGAAACCUACACCUCUGCAAUUAGAGCAAAUGACAAUAAAUCUAUGGCUGAUGUCCUUGGUGAUGGUGGAAACUCCUCGCUCACUAUCUCUGAAGGUCCUAUUGUCUCUGAGCGCAGGCUUAACCAGGAAGUAGCGCUGAACUUAAAAGAAGAUCAUGAAGUAGAAGUUGGUGUACUAAAAGAAAGUGUUGACUUACCAGAAGAAAAGCUUCCAAUUUCUGACAGCCCUCCUGAUACUCAAGAAAUUCAUGUAAUUGCAAGGACCAUUCCUUCUUCCACCAAACCCUUGCAGGAGAGGUACUGAACUUGAAAGCCUUAGGAAUUUCAUGGUUUAUGCAGCCCCAGCAAAGGGAAGAGGAUUGAGUCUAGCCCAAGGGAGCUUAUGUGAUUGAACAAGAAAAGCUUGAAGCUCAAGAUUCAGGAGAAGAGGCUAGGAAUCUUUCAUUUAAUGAGUUAUAUCCCUCUGGAACACUUAAGCUUCAGUACAAUUUUGAUACUAUUGACCAACAGUUUUGUGACUUAGCUGAUAACAAAGACACUGCUGAAUGUGACAUUGCUGAAGUAGAUGGGGAACUUUUUGUGGCUCAAAGCAACUUUACCUUGAUAUUGGAAGGUGAAGAAGGAGAAGUUGAGCCAGGUGAUUUUGCAUCAUCUGAUGUGUUACCUAAAGCAGCUAACACAGCAACUGAAGAAAAACUUGUAUGCAGUGGGGAAAAUGAUAAUCAUGGACAAGUUGCAAAUUUGCCAUCUGCCGUAACUAGUGACCAAAAGUCCCAAAAAGUAGACACUUUACCAUAUGUGCCUGAACCUAUUAAAGUAGCAAUUGCAGAAAAUUUACUAGAUGUAAUUAAAGACACAAGAAGUAAAGAAAUUACUUCAGAUACAAUGGAACAGUCCAUUCAUGAAACAAUACCUUUAGUGAGCCAAAACAUAAUGUGUCCCACUAAAUUAGUCAAAUCUGCAUUUAAGACUGCUCAGGAAACAAGCACAAUGACUAUGAAUGUCAGCCAGGUUGAUGACGUGGUUUCCUCCAAAACUCGUACGAGAGGUCAACGUAUCCAAAACGUGAAUGUCAAAUCAGCACAACAGGAAGCAUCAGCAGAUGUUGCUACUCCUAAGAUGCCAGGGCAGUCAGUCAGGAAGAAAACUAGGAAGGCAAAAGAAAUUUCUGAAGCUUCUGAAAACAUCUAUUCUGAUGUCAGAGGACUAUCUCAGAACCAGCAAAUACCUCAAACUUCUGGUACGCCUAGGAGAGGAAGGAGAAAGAGAGAAGUUAAUCAGGACGUACUAGAAAACAGCAGUUCUGUGGAACAAGAAUUACAGAUCACUACAGGUAGGGGAUCAAAAAGGUUAAAGUCAUCUCAGCUGUUGGAACCAGCAGUUGAAGAAACUACUAAAAAAGAAGUUAAGGUUUCAUCUGUUACAAAAAGGACUCCUAGAAGAAUUAAAAGAGCUGUAGAAAAUCAGGAAAGUGUUGAAAUUAUAAAUGAUCUAAAAGUUAGUACGGUCACAAGUCCUAGCAGAACGAUCAGAAAAUUGAGAAGUACUAAUUUAGAUGCUUCUGAAAAUACAGGAAAUAAGCAAGAUGAUAAAUCCAGUGACAAGCAGCUGCCUAUUAAACAUAUUAGAAGGGUCAGAGGGAGAGAAGUUAGUCCAUCAGAUGUGAGAGAAGACUCCAACCUUGAGUCAUCUCAGUUGACUGUUCAAGCAGAAUUUGAUAUGUCUGCCAUACCUAGAAAACGUGGUAGACCAAGAAAAAUCAAUCCAUCUGAAGAUGUAGGAUCUAAGGCUGUUAAGGAAGAGAGUAGCCCCAAGAAGAAAGAAGCUCCCAGCAUUAAAAGGAGAUCUACAAGAAAUACCCCAGCUAAAAGUGAAAAUGUUGAUGUUGGAAAACCAGCUUUAGGAAAAUCCAUUUUAGUGCCAAACGAGGAACUUUCGAUGGUGAUGAGCUCUAAGAAAAAACUUACAAAAAAGACUGAAAGUCAAAGCCAAAAACGUUCAUUGCACUCAGUAUCAGAAGAACGCACAGAUGAAAUGACACAUAAAGAAACAAAUGAGCAGGAAGAAAGAUUGCUCGCCACAGCUUCCUUCACUAAAUCAUCCCGCAGCAGCAGGACUCGGUCUAGCAAGGCCAUCUUGUUGCCGGACCUUUCUGAACCGAACAAUGAGCCUUUAUUUUCUCCAGCAUCAGAAGUUCCAAGGAAAGCAAAAGCUAAAAAAAUAGAGGUUCCUGCACAGCUGAAAGAAUUAGUUUCGGAUUUAUCUUCUCAGUUUGUCAUCUCACCUCCUGCUUUAAGGAGCAGACAAAAAAACACAUCCAAUAAGAACAAGCUUGAAGAUGAACUGAAAGAUGAUGCACAAUCAGUAGAAACCGUGGGAAAGCCAAAAGCGAAACGAAUCAGGACGUCAAAAACAAAACAAGCAAGCAAAAACACAGAAAAAGAAAGUGCUUGGUCACCUCCUCCCAUAGAAAUUCGGCUGAUUUCCCCCUUGGCUAGCCCAGCUGACGGAGUCAAGAGCAAACCAAGAAAAACUACAGAAGUGACAGGAACAGGUCUUGGAAGGAACAGAAAGAAACUGUCUUCCUAUCCAAAGCAAAUUUUACGCAGAAAAAUGCUGUAAUUUCUUGGGAAGUUUUUAAUGUACACCUAUUUGUAAAGUCAUCAGAAUAGUGUGGAUUAUUAAAUAUCUAGUUUGGAAGAAAAUAAUUUAUAUAAAUUAUUGUAAAUUUUUAUGUAAACAGAAGGUCUUCAAUAAGUAAAGUAACUCCAUAUGGAGUGAUUGUUUCAGUCCAGGCAAUUUUUCUAUUUUAUAUUAAGACUUCAUACAUUUAUAUAUGUAAAUAUGGCUUAUUAAUGGAAUGUCAAAUAAAAUGUAUACUUCACAGUCGUUUGUGUCUUGGAUUUUUGAAAGGGAGGGGAUAUCUGUUUAAAUAGUUUUAUAUGCUCAUUGGUCUCAUUUUCUCUAUAAUUAAAAUACUAGACCAGUCUUAAAAUGGGGAUGAUUGAAGUAUUGAUAUUUCUUUUUACAGUUACUAUUUUAUAAUUUAUGCACUUUGAUUCUGUGAUUCAGAUUUCUAAUCAUAAAAUGUAUUUUUUUGUUUUUGGCUGUUACUAUGUUAAAAUUGAAUUAUGGGCAUGUAAUUUUGCCAUCUUUGUAGUUUCACAAAUUUUGUGUAAUCUACCUCAAAUGAAUAAUCCAAGUAUUGGUUAACUAUAAUGUUGGCAUCUCUUAUUCGGCAAGCUUAAAGGCUCUUUAAAGUCUUAAUUCGUCAAAGACUAAUCCAGGUUAGAUUGACCGGUUCACUGCUCACUUGCAACCUUAUCAAAGGGUUUGACAAAGGGAAAUGUAAAAUAAAUCUGUUUAUGGCUAUUGAGUGCAUCUUGUAUGUGCCUAAUAUUGAUAGGAUGAGAUGUCUGAACAAAUUUUUAUAAUAUUGCUGUGAAGGAGCUUGCUACUGAACCACAGAAAUCCCUUAAUAUUCAGGUUUUAAAACUGGCAAAUUCUCACAGGACCUCAGGCACAGAUUAUUGAGGUUGGGAGAGAGUGAGUAGAUGUAGAAAAGGAGAAAAACAACACACGCCCUGUUCUCUACAGUACAACUGUGUGCAAUUAAGCAAUGAUGGUACUUGAUGUAGGCUCUAACACUCAUCAAUAAAUAAGUGUUGUAAAAUAAUUUAUAACAGGUAAUCGAUAGUGUGUAAUGAAUGGACUAUUAAUUGAUUAUCUAGAAACGAACUGCUUUCGUGGGCUAAGCUUUUAAUAUUUUAAUGUGAAGCAUAUGCAGUGUGCUUUCUGCAUUUAUUUUUCUACCAAAUAAUACAGAUAAUGAGAAAUUGGUGAAAAUGCCUACGCCAAGUGUUGACAGUGUGAAAGUAGCAGUGCGAGUGCGGCCUUUUAGUCAGGUUAGUGAUGGAUGUUACGCUGCCUUGUUGAAAAUUUCACUGACUUUGAUUUUAUUACUUUUUUAAUGAUAGUUAUCAAACUUGUAUUUAAGCUGCUUGUCAUUUAUGGAAUAUUGAACUUAUUUAAAUGAACUUGUUAAAUGAAUAAAGAGCUAAACAUAA
This is an RNA transcript of Pan troglodytes (chimpanzee), 8696 nucleotides long. It is a transcript of the gene named AT-hook containing transcription factor 1, with no coding region annotated. Lineage: Eukaryota; Metazoa; Chordata; Mammalia; Primates; Hominidae. The transcript has 37 exons. The record is from RefSeq and is a predicted model, not a curated record.